CUACGGGCCGCACCAGUGGGGAAUAUUGGACAAUGGGCGCAAGCCUGAUCCAGCAAUACCGCGUGUGUGAAGAAGGCCUGCGGGUUGUAAAGCACUUUCAAUUGUGAAGAAAAGCGAGAGGUUAAUAGCCUUUUGUCUUGACGUUAACUUUAGAAGAAGCACCGGCUAACUCUGUGCCAGCAGCCGCGGUAAUACAGAGGGUGCGAGCGUUAAUCGGAAUUACUGGGCGUAAAGCGUGCGUAGGCGGUUUAGUAAGUCAGAUGUGAAAGCCCUGGGCUCAACCUGGGAACUGCAUUUGAAACGGCUGAACUAGAGUGUGGUAGAGGGAAGUGGAAUUCCGGGUGUAGCGGUGAAAUGCGUAGAUAUCCGGAGGAACACCAGUGGCGAAGGCGACUUCCUGGACCAACACUGACGCUGAGGUACGAAAGCGUGGGUAGCAAACAGGAUUAGAUACCCCCGUAGUC
Molecule: ribosomal RNA, 464 nt
Filed under: uncultured bacterium
Lineage: Bacteria
Description: partial 16S ribosomal RNA
Rfam family: Bacterial small subunit ribosomal RNA
Source: RNAcentral